This 67-nucleotide transfer RNA is filed under the name Pogona vitticeps (central bearded dragon). RNAcentral's name for it is "tRNA-Thr". The record is from RNAcentral. Lineage: Eukaryota; Metazoa; Chordata; Lepidosauria; Squamata; Agamidae.
GUUCUGCUAGCUUAAACACCAUAGAGCGUUAGUUUUGUAAACUAAAGACGGGAACACCCGCAGAUCA